UCUCUUUCUCGCUCUUUCUGUUUCUCCCUCUCUCUCUCUCUCUCUUUCUUGCUCUCUCUCUUUCUCUCUCUCUCUCUUUCUCUCUGCCUGCCACAAGAGUGCUUGCCAAAAGCAAAAUCCUCUCUUCGGUUUGUUCUCUUCUCGUGCUUGCUCGAUAGUGUAGUCAACCAGGUGUAUCGUAGCAAUAAGUGUUUCAUACUCGACAUGCUAUACGGUUGUUCUUAUCAGUGCUCCAACGACAGUACGACGACGAGGACGACGACAACGAUAACGAGGAGAAGGAGGAUAAGGACGGUGAGGAGGACAAGCAGGAGGAGAAACGGAGAUUGCUCGUCGAAGAGGCUCGUCGUAGGAAGAAGGAGCGUGGGAGCUGAGAGCGCGCUUCGCCGCUGCUGAGAAAGUCCUCCUUCUCCUCCUCCUCGUCGCUUACGAGAGAGGAAAAGAAAGAGGAAGAGAGACUGACAAACAGAGAAAGAGAGAGAGAGAGAGAGAGAGAGAGAGAGAGAGAGAGAGGAAAACCGAAGAAGAAAAAGAAGAAGAAAAAAGAAGAAGAAGAGUCGCGGUGGAGACGGCGAAUGCGAGCGAAACGACGCAAGCAGCCCGGCUUGAGCUGGCAUGAACGCCGAGGGAAACGACAACGGGCACGAGGACAACGUCAACGUAAACGACAACAAGAGAAAGAACAAAAACAACAGUGGGAACAAGAAAAACAAAAUAACGGAGAACGAGAAGAGCGGCUACCGUGAGGCUCGCGGCGAUGCUCAUAGACGUUACCUGACGAGCGCACUCGUGCGUACGAGCAAGUCGCGAUUUUCGUUAUCGACGCUCGAUCCCUCUGUCCGCGUCGCUGGUAUCACCGACGAUCAUCGUCAUCGACCUCACGGCGAACAACCCCACGCUCCUGCGCGCCGUUUUUGCGUCCUCUUACAUUCUUGUUAAGAUAUCGUCUUAUUUCGCUCGAUCAAGGUGAACUGCGGCAGCGUCAAUAGCUGUUUGAAGGGACAUUGGCUUCUCAUCCAAACAGAUUACGAUGAACAAGGAACCAUCGUAUUGGGGUAGAGGGUGCCUCGCGUGACACACGUCCUUCCUCGGUUCUUUUCCACCAGGAGACGGAGUGUCCGGGUCUCGUUCGGCCACGCUUCGUCUCCUCUCUUCUUCCUCUUCUUCUUUUUCUACUUCAACUCCAACUUCUAUUUCUAGUUCUAUCUCUACUACUCUUCGAGCACCAUCGUUAUCUUAAUCUUCUUCUUUUCCUUUCCUACUUUUUCAUCGUUGCCGUCAAUCUUAACUAUCUUUCUCCUUUUUUCUCAUCUCUCUCUCUCUCUCUCCCUCUUGUUUUGCCCGUUACGUUCGAAGCUACCCUUACGACGAGGACACGCGUACCAGGGAGGCACGAUAGUAUGACGGUGAUGCUGCUGCAACGUUCGGUCACCCCGCAGUCGACGCACCGCCAAAAGACAGCGAAGAAGGACUGCAGCGCGAAGCCGCCCUUUAUCUUCCUGCUGGACGAUCGUCAGGAGCACAGGCGAUCUAUAGACGCCUCCAUCAUCACGACCACUAACAACAACAACAACAACAACAACAACAACAACAUCAUCAAUAAUUUCAACAACAAUUACGAAAACAAUUACACUCCCACGACCAAUAAUAACAACAAUAACAACAACAAUAAUAACAAUAAUAUCAACAACAACAACAACAACAACAACAACAAUUACGAGAGUGGGAACAAAAACAAUAUCGUGAAAAGGAGCGUCCGUAGAAGCAGCGGAAGCCGCGAGUACGCCGUCGAGGAGGCGCCGGCUUCGGUGACGUCUCAGAGACGCACCGCCGGUGGCCAGGACGUCGCGAUGCGAUAUUAUCGGAUCUGGAUUUACGCCUGUAACGGGGUGCUCUUCUUCAGCGCGGCUGCAUUCGCCGCGGUCGUAUCAAUGUCCAUUAUAUUCACCGGCGAUCCCAGAAGGCACGUAAUACCUGGAGUCCCAAGAGCCUUCGAUCCGACGGCCCUAUAUGCUUACCUCGCUUUGGGUACUCAACUGGGACUCGUUCAGUUACUCGGUUGCGUUGCCGUAAGAAGACUCAGCGCCAAAUUACUCAACGUCUAUUGGGUUCUACUCUUGGUCCUACUCUUCGGAGACAUCGUUAUCGGUAUCGUUUGGGUCGUCCGUUCCGAGGGAAUGAACGCUCAACUCAGGCCCAUGCUAAGGCUACGAUUACAGACGGAGUACGGUAAGGAGCCACGAUUCAGCGAGCAUUGGGAUCGACUGCAGAAGGAAUUCACGUGUUGCGGUGUAACAGGGCCGCGUGAUUUCGGAUCCCGUUGGCCGCAGACAUGUUGCGGGCCCAUCAUGAAUGUCAGCGACACCUGCCAGCAACCAUACUCGCGAGGAUGCGACGAAUCCUUGCUACGCUGGUUAAGAGAAACUUCCGAUCGCCUAUUCGUAUUUGGCUUUUGCGUCGUGGCCUUCACCAAACUCUGUUUCCUCGGUAUUCUACGAUACGAGAUACGUGAGAUGAUACAAAAGAUACGGAUGCUGCGCGAACCACCCCCACCGGCGACAACUUUUGCCCAGCCGCCAUUUUCGCAGGUGAUGUCGGAAGCCACUACCAAUAAUGGCAGCAUCGUUCGACGAACCACUCUGCCUAACGCCGUUACUCCUUCCGGAAACGCAUCGUUACUUUUGCAAACGGAGGAAUGCAAUACAGGCCGACAUCCUCUAUUAGCGAACAAUCUUCAAGAUGGUGGAGCCGAUAGCGACACGAACAGUCACUGUGCUUUGAUCUUAGAAGAGACAACGCCAACGUCGGCCAAUCACAAUUGCGGUACGCGCGAGAAGAGCAACGGUAACAAUAAUUACGAGAUGCGGGAGUUUAACAGAAGAUUGUUACUCUCGAACGGCGGUAGCCCAGGUACGCAAGGUGUCACAGCAGGUGGGCAAAGCAGGCGUACCUGACUAUGGAAGUGGUGGCGAAACACCUGGAACCAUCUUCUCUACAGGAGCAACCGGCCCGCCGAAGUACCAGUAUAUAAAUAAGCCUACGAUCUUCGAAAUUGAAGGAACGAGAAAAAAGGAGAAGAAAGGAGAGGAGAAGAGAGGAGAAGAGAAAACAAGAGAAAAGAAGAGAAAGACGAAGGAGAACUGCGAGGAUUUGUACUGCAAAGAGCAACUCGAUCGCUCGUUUAGCUCGCCCGGAGUAGAAGCCCUUCUUUCAGUUUCAGAAAUAGCCACAACGAGAAAGGAGAGAGAAAGAACGUAGUACAUACGUACAUAGAUACAUACAUAUAUACAUACGUAUGUACGUAGGUACGAUAUAUAUAUAUAUAUAUAUAUAUAUAUAUAUAUAUAUAUAUAUACAUACACAACAUACGUACGUACUUACAUGCGUGUUUGUGUACACUAAAUGCACGUAUGCAAUUUGCCGUGGACAAAAACGAGGUAUAAUAGGAUGCUUUUUGCUUCCCCAGAAUAGUAAUAGAAAACAAACAAUUUUUCUUUCAGAAAGAAAUGUUUCCUUCUAUUACUACUUAACAAUAUCCGGAGAAACUUCCGAAAUUACUUAAAUUCGAAACGAUCGAUCGAUCGAUCGAUCGUAGAAUGUAAGUAGUUUGGAAUAAGUUUAUAUAAGGGCAAGAUAAAUCUAGAGAAACGCUUGUAAAGCGUUCUAAUCGUGGCUUUAGCUUCGCAAUGUUAUACUAAAUUUAUCUCUUAAGUUUGCUUUUUCUUCUUAAGCUUACUGAAGAAGACGAGACGAGACAAGACGAGACGAGACAAGACAGUGACAAGAUACGUCUCUUCUCAUACUCUUAUUCACAACGUACAUACGUAAGUAAAUAUGUACGUAUGCGUGUAUGCGUGUGCGUGCGUAUGUGUAUGUAUAUGUAUAUGUAUCCUACGUAAUAUGUACGCGUUGAAAACUCGCACCUAUCUUUAUUAAGAGACCCAAGAGAUUGCACGAUCGAGCCGACGUCGUGCUAUUAACGAUAUCCGAUGAAAAAAAAAAAAAAAGAAAAAAAAAAAGGAGUGAUAGCAAAAAGGGGGAUCGAAGUAGUAGGUAUCGAAGUGACACUGGACGCUUUCUAAUUAAACGAUAAUAAUUCUAACGUAACACAUUGAUACGUCACAAAGGAUAGACGCUAGACUUUUUAACGCCCCUACGAUCCUUUCAUCAAAGUUUUCUUCUAACGCAACGUAUUCCUUAUACGUCUUUCCGUCCUCGCACGGUCGUUUUACACACAUGCUACUUUUGUAGAAUUAUUUUUAGCGGUAAGAGAGAACAAGAGAGAGAUAGAGCAAGUGUGCGUGCGUGCAUAUGUAUAUCUAUAGGUGCGAUAGAAAGAGAGAAAGAGAGAGAAGGAAUUUUUUGUUUCCUCCUUUAAAAUUUUCUUAACAAAAAGAAAAUAAUUGAUGGCUUUUCCCGAGACAGCUCUAGCAGAUCAUUUUUAUAUGAAAAAUGGAAGCAGUAUUCUCUAUGAUAGUAUAUCACAGUAUGUCGCGUAAACUAUCGUCGUUAGUAAAGAAGAACGAGAGAUAGAAACGAUGCAUCGAUUUAUAGGAGUAUUUUAAAUAGAAUAUAUGAGAGAUAUACUAUCAUUAUGAAUUUUUCUCUUAUCGAUGAAACAUUACGUACAUAUGUACGUACAAUGAGAAAAACACAAAAGUCUCCAGGACAUAACAGAUGAUCAACAGUUUCUAAUUCUUUUUACACAAAUGAUACAUGUAGCGCGAGUAGUGUGUAUUGAUUUGUGGUAAAACUAAUGAGGAUAUGAAAUAUAAAAAUCGAGGUAAUUGGCUUCCUAGUUAGGAUCUAUCGAAUCUUAGGAUUAUAUGCGUUAACGAAUGUAAAAGGCAUUGUAUACAAAAAAAAAAAGAGAAAAAACAAAUAUUAGUAGGCUGUAUAUAGCGGUGUAUGGUAGAAAGUUAAUUAAGUGUCGAUCGUCUGCUUAAGAAAAAGCCAGAAAUAUUGUGUCUAAAAAGAAAAAAAAAAAAGGAGAAAUAAAUAAUAAAAAAAAAAAAAAAAAAAAAAAAGAAACUGAAUGACCACAUCAUAACGCGAAUAUACUCGCAUGGAAGGACUUAGAGAAUAACUUUCUGGAAAAAGGAUCGAAUCGUUUUCUAAGAAAAGAAUUCCUGGAAUUCUCCUUCUACUUCUUCUACUUCUUCUUCUUCUUCUUCUUCUUCUUCUUCUUCUUCUUCUUCUUCUUCUUCUUCUUCUACUUCUUCUUCUUCUUCGAGAAAAAUCGGUCAUUUAUAUUUGCGUGUAAUCACAACGGCGUGGAAAACAGGGUAUUAUCAAAAUGACGUACGUCAGCAAUCGAUUAUUAGAAAGUCAUUAGUAAUUAUAGUAUCAUAUGUGCGGUACGUAUUUGUUACUGAAAAUUUUAUGAUACCUUCGUUUCCUUGGAUGUGACAUUUGUUAGAAUAUUAUUUUGGAGACGCUUCUGACAAAAACUCUUAAGGGUUCUUUCUUAAUCAGGCUAUCGAAUAAUCGUUGAAUGUAAUAAACUAUUAACAAUGUCUCAAAGCUUACACCUCGCAGACACGCAGAGCCUCUGCCACUGAUUGUAUCGUAAGGACAUUAUACAUAUACGUGAAAUAGACUAAAUGAUUUUUAAUUAAUUAUUUUUAGAAGGCAAGUGUGUUACUAUAAGCCGCCCAGAGGUGAAGAGAAACCACGCUGAUCAUUGAUCAUAGAGAGAAAGUACGUAAAUGCUUUUACAUUAAACUUUUGGCCGAGUAGAACUUACUGUUAACUAGCUACCACGUACUACGAUUAUUAAAGUAACAAAGGGACGAUUUGUACACUCGAAUCUAACUCGGCCAAUAAAUCCUAAACAGAAUAUACAGUCCUGUCGUAAAGAAGGCUUUAAAGUAAACACGAUUUAGCGAUUUGUAACUGAUUGAUAUUUAAAAGUAAUAUGUAAAUUGAGAUGAGUCUAAGAGAGGGAGCUUUGAAUAGUGCCUGCUUAAAAUCCAGUUUACUAUAUCUGAUACUGUUAGAUAUGGUACUCACAUUACGACGUAACCGACAGAUUUAAUAGAGAGCUAUCGUAGCGAAGUAUGGGAAAAAGUGUCGUUUAUGGAAUACGUUCGUUGUUUUAAAGUCACACAUGACAAAGCACAACGAAAUACAUACAUAAAUGUAGAGCCGCUGUUUAUAUUUAUGCGAAUUCAAAAAGCAGCGUAUCUCUGAUAUAGAGAGAUCAUAUCUAAACUUAAAGAUACGUUAGCUUUAACUUACUUGAAAAUAAGUUUGUACCUUAAGUCAAACUGUUGUAAUGGACAUUUUUUAAAUUAAUACUAUGUGAACCAAGGACACAUAUACACGUACACACGUACAAGCGCAUUCACACGUCGAAGAAAAAUUAUUUAACUAACCAUUUUUGCUUUCUUCCAUGGCUUCUACCAACAGAAACCACUCUUCCCCAUACUGUACUAUGAGUUCGUGUUAUUCAAUACCCUUAAGUGUACAUAAAACGUAUGUGGCCGUAAUUGUAUGUAAAUACUGUUACACAUUCUAUGAUUACCAUGAAAUAUGAAUACAAGGAAAAUUGGUUAUUUAGUAUAA
RNA transcript from Vespula pensylvanica (western yellowjacket), 6567 nucleotides. RefSeq lists it as uncharacterized. The transcript has 5 exons. Lineage: Eukaryota; Metazoa; Arthropoda; Insecta; Hymenoptera; Vespidae. The record is from RefSeq and is a predicted model, not a curated record.